GAAGGCCGUUAGAGUUCACAGACAGGACAGUUUAAAGAGAGACAGGAAGCAGUCUAGGGGAGAGGCGAGUGGGGAACGGGAUCAGGAAAGGACCUCUGGCCAGAGCCUAAACUCAGGAGUGCCAAGGCUUUUGCUCAGACAAUAUGGACAAUAUGAAGAGCACACCAUUGGGUGGGGGCUGAAUCCAUAAUGUUUUCAGACGGCUUCCUCACUGCUCGUCUGUCUCGUGUCAUUAUCUCGAUUUGGACGUUUCACUUCAUUUUAACAAAUGGCCUCUGUCACAGCGCAUUCGGGGUGCAGGAGAAGAGGCGUCCAUUUUGGAAUUUGAUCAAAGAGAGCAGAAUUGUGUUUGAUAAUGUUACACCCUCUGAAUUUUCAGUUCCCUGAGAGGCUCUGUUGUUCAUUUUCAGUGUGGAUGUUUAGUAUGUGCAUUUGGUUAAGAUAGGACUGUCAAUUCAGUGUGAUUAAUUAUAGAUAAUAGCUUUACCAUCAUGGGCCCAUUUUUUGCCCCUUG
Cyprinus carpio carpio is the source of this 514-nucleotide long non-coding RNA. NCBI's taxonomy places the organism in Eukaryota, Metazoa, Chordata, Actinopteri, Cypriniformes, Cyprinidae. The record is from Ensembl.